AAGGGAGACCUAAUUCAGGUAGGAGACGAAAAAAUAGUAGUCCCAACCAAGAAUCAAUCCCAAAAGGUCGGAGCGAGGCGAAAUUGGCUUUCAAACUAGGUUCUGGGUUCAAACAAGACCUGAAUCAGGAACAAGGGCUAUUAGCUCAGGUGGUUAGAGCGCACCCCUGAUAAGGGUGAGGUCCCUGGUUCGAGUCCAGGAUGGCCCACCUGCACAGGUGGCAAAAACAAAGAAGAGAAGCUCCGAAUCAGCACCUUAUCUUAUCUAUAGAUAAGAGAGAAUGCUGGCUCUGAGUUCAGAGUCCAGAGGAACCUUGAAAACUGCAUAGAGCUAGGUGAAAAAGCCAAAAAAGACGACCGCAA
Molecule: transfer RNA, 362 nt
Filed under: uncultured Microcystis sp.
Lineage: Bacteria; Bacillati; Cyanobacteriota; Cyanophyceae; Chroococcales; Microcystaceae
Description: partial 16S-23S ribosomal RNA intergenic spacer
Rfam family: tRNA (bases 135-208)
Source: RNAcentral